GAGCAUCCGCUUGACGUGCGGAGGGUCAUAGGUUCAAGUCCUAUAUCGUCCACCA
RNAcentral lists this transfer RNA (55 nucleotides) under Clostridiales bacterium. RNAcentral describes it as "tRNA-Leu". It matches the Rfam family "tRNA", at positions 21 to 71 of the family's 71-position model. From Rfam's summary of the family: Transfer RNA (tRNA) molecules are approximately 80 nucleotides in length. Lineage: Bacteria; Bacillati; Bacillota; Clostridia; Eubacteriales. The record is from RNAcentral.